RNAcentral lists this ribosomal RNA (495 nucleotides) under uncultured bacterium. RNAcentral describes it as "partial 16S ribosomal RNA". It matches the Rfam family "Bacterial small subunit ribosomal RNA", at positions 30 to 507 of the family's 1533-position model. The record is from RNAcentral.
UGAACGCUGGCGGCGUGCCUAAUACAUGCAAGUCGCGCGAACAGACGCGGAGCUUGCUCCUCUGACGUUAGCGGCGGACGGGUGAGUAACACGUGGAUAACCUACCUAUAAGACUGGGAUAACUUCGGGAAACCGGAGCUAAUACCGGAUAAUAUAUUGAACCGCAUGGUUCAAUAGUGAAAGACGGUUUUGCUGUCACUUAUAGAUGGAUCCGCGCCGCAUUAGCUAGUUGGUAAGGUAACGGCUUACCAAGGCGACGAUGCGUAGCCGAUCUGAGAGGGUGAUCGGCCACACUGGAACUGAGACACGGUCCAGACUCCUACGGGAGGCAGCAGUAGGGAAUCUUCCGCAAUGGGCGAAAGCCUGACGGAGCAACGCCGCGUGAGUGAUGAAGGUCUUCGGAUCGUAAAACUCUGUUAUUAGGGAAGAACAAAUGUGUAAGUAACUAUGCACGUCUUGACGGUACCUAAUCAGAAAGCCACGGCUAACUACGUG